RNAcentral lists this long non-coding RNA (1976 nucleotides) under Paramuricea clavata. Lineage: Eukaryota; Metazoa; Cnidaria; Anthozoa; Malacalcyonacea; Plexauridae. The record is from RNAcentral.
UAACGCGUUCCAAAGAAUUUUGAACAAUUCCAAACUUGUGAUUUUCCGCACAUUUUCAUGAAAUUAACAAAAAUCCGCAGCGUGAUGGGUUUUUUUAAAGAAAUAAGCUGUUUUUGGCAGACACCAUUUGAUUGUCUGCAAGAACUUCCUUUUUCUAUCAAAUCAAGAUUCCACAAUACGAUAAGCUGAGCACAAAAUAUACUGGUGGCUGAAUUUCAGACAGACCUAUAUGUGGAUGCAAAAUAUAGGCGCGUCUGAAAUUCAGACACCGGUAUAUCUUGCAUCCUGAUAUAGGGGAUAUCUGGAUACGAAAUAUCCUGGUGUCUGAAUUUCAGACAGACCUAUAUGUGGAUGCAAAAUAUAGGCACGUCUGAAAUUCAGACAUCCGUAUAUCUGAGCACAAAAUAUACUGGUGUCUGAAAUUCAGACAGACCUAUAUGUGGAUGCAAAAUAUAGGCGCGUCUGAAAUUCAGACACCGGUAUAUCUUGUUUCCUGACAUAGGAGUGUCUAAAUUUCAGACACCCCUAUAUCUGGAUACGAAAUAUACUGGUGUCUGAAUUUCAGACAGACCUAUAUGUGGAUGCAAAAUAUAGGCGCGUCUGAAAUUCAGACACCGGUAUAUCUUGUUUCCUGACAUAGGAGUGUCUAAAUUUCAGACACCCCUAUAUCUGGAUACGAAAUAUACUGGUGUCUGAAUUUCAGACAGACCUAUAUGUGGAUGCAAAAUAUAGGCACGUCUGAAAUUCAGACAGCCGUAUAUCUGAGCACAAAAUAUACUGGUGUCUGAAAUUCAGACAGACCUAUAUGUGGAUACAAAAUAUAGGCGCGUCUGAAAUUCAGACAUCCGUAAAUCUGGAUGCAAGAUAUACAAGCGUCUGGAAUUCAGAUUACUUUGUGUAAUACAAAUAUAAGUGAAACAUAAUAAUAAAAUAAGUGAUAAUACAAGUGUUACAAAGUCUCAAAUAAAUAUUAACGACAUAGUAGUUUCUAUAUUUCUUAUAGAUGAAGUGUUUGAAGAACACAGAAAAAAUGUACAAUUACAAAAUUAGCGUCAUUAUUGAAUAGUAAUGAAUAAUAAAGGCUUAUAGACCAAUUGCAAAACUUAGUGACCGCGCCUUAAACUGCACGAAUACGAGGCUUAUUAGGCAAAAACAAAUCAUUCUGCUAUAUUUUUAUAUGCCGAAAAAUAAAUUUUGGUGUUUGAGACGCGUUUUUACGGUAAUCUCUUCAUUUUUUUUCAAUAUUUUUGUUUUGACUAUGUAAAUCUAUAUUAAACUUGGUCAUAGAUUUAGUCUUACUUCAAAUUUCAUUGUUUUUCGCGGCAUGCGAGACAAAGUUUUUCUGUUUUUCGCCGUCCGAUAAAAGAAGCAGAUUAUACAAGAGAAAGAAUCAGCUAUUUUCCGUCUGUUUUAUUAAUAUAUUUCAAAGAAUAAGUUGUAGCAUUGAUUAAUUUUGUUUGAGUUGUAAUAUAAUAGCAAAUUUUCGAUUUUAACUUUAAAAAUCAAAUGGAUUCUAGAAAACACACUUUAAAAACCCUAAAAUUCACUUUACGCUCUAUAAAAAUAUAGACAUUGUUUUGUUUUUUCAUAAUAAGCCUCGUUCUUGUGCAGUAUGAAGGCGCGGCCACUAAUUGGUCUAUUGACCGAGCGUGAGGUCUGUACUAUCAACUAAGGUAUUUGCAUCAGUUACUGUCUGAUCAGGCUGAGUUACUGUCUGAUCAGGUCCACAACCUUCUUGACCUUCAUUGGAAACUGUUUCACCAUGAGUAAUUUUGUCCAAUAUUUCGUUGCACUUUUUUGCCCAUUCAUGUUCAUCAGCAGGUGCUACAAUAUCUCUGAAUAGGCCAUCACUUGAUGACCAGUCAUAUUUAGAGAUUUGAAAGAAGCUGGUACUUCUCUUAUUUCCAUGUCCAGGUGUAAAGGAGAGCUAUUGCAAAAAAUAACACACAUGUAAACUCAGUUAAAUGGCAAAAUAU